This is a long non-coding RNA of Capsicum annuum, 1173 nucleotides long. RefSeq lists it as uncharacterized. The transcript has 2 exons. The record is from RefSeq and is a predicted model, not a curated record. Lineage: Eukaryota; Viridiplantae; Streptophyta; Magnoliopsida; Solanales; Solanaceae.
AUGGCCAAGCACCUAUAAAGUAAAGUAAUAAUUCAAAUUCCCACAAUACUUGGGCAAUAAAAAGCCCUAGACUGUAGUUAGCUCUUUUCUUCUUCACUAUAUAUUCAUCUCAAGCGGUUGAGCCACUCCUCUCCUUUUCUCUUCCUUUCUUUCAUUUUUUUUUACAAUCACGGUAAGUUCUUCUCCAUCAUUUCACCCAUUUUGUAUAAACAUAAUUCCUCUCCUUUACUAUUUUAUCUGUUUUAAAAUAGAAUGAAUGAUAAAUUGUUUUUUUUCUUUAAUUGAAUCAAUCAUUGCAUAAAAAUUAGACUUCGAUGGAUACUUGUUCUUUCGUGCCUGUUUCUGAUUUUUGUUGUUUUCUGCUUGUGUUUUUAAGUUGUUAUGUAUAUAACUUUACUUUUAAUAUAGAAAAACAAGUUCUUGAGAUCAUUUGACAUUUGGUUGACCUAAUUUAUUCUAGAGGGUGGAAUAACAAUGCCGGGAUAACUAAUCCCGGGAUAACUUGUUCCCCAUCCAAACGAGCCCUACUUGAUUUGCUGUUAGUGCUACUGGAAAGUUAAUCUUACAUGAUUGUUUGUAGGUGCAGGAUUUUGGUUUCAAUUUCUCCAAGUUAGGCUUGUGAUUGGUAGAAAAAAUGUUGUUCCUAUCUUUAUGCAAUGUAUUUGAUAUAAGAAAUGUCAACUCUCUUAUGAUUUUUGUUAGGUGUUAGCUUUUUCCUUUUUAUUUUUCAGUUCAAUUUAAUUUCUUUUCUGGUUCACAGGUGUGUUUCUUUGUGCGUGGUAGAAUAAAUUGAAGUUGGAAUGGAGUGUGUGGUUCAGGGAAUUAUUGAGACUCAACAUGUUGAGGCCCUGGAAAUUCUGCUUCAAGGGCUUUGUGGUGUACAUAAGCAAAGCUUAAGGAUCCAUGAACUGUGUCUUAAAAGUGUUCCGAACCUGGGUAAGUGAGUUUUCUCCGCGAACAAAGCUUAAGGAACUAUCUAAUUGUCAUGUAUGUACAUUGAGGCAAGUGCUUGCAAGUUGCAACCAGCUAUGCAAUCAUAGGGAUGUUUUCUCACCUUAGAGUUUUGAUAUAGUUGGUAUUUUCUUUUUCUAUGGUCCAUCUUAUUCUAGUUGUAUUGUUGUGCUGCUUAUCAAUGAUCGUAUGGAAUUAGAUUCAAGUAUAUUUCACUUUCAG